CACGGGGGGAGCAAGCGUUGUUCGGAAUCACUGGGCGUAAAGCGCACGUAGGCGGAUUGUUAAGUCAGGGGUGAAAUCCUGGAGCUCAACUCCAGAACUGCCUUUGAUACUGAGGAUCUUGAGUUCGGGAGAGGUGAGUGGAACUGCGAGUGUAGAGGUGAAAUUCGUAGAUAUUCGCAAGAACACCAGUGGCGAAGGCGGCUCACUGGCCCGAUACUGACGCUGAGGCACGAAAGCGUGGGGAGCAAACAGG
RNAcentral lists this ribosomal RNA (253 nucleotides) under uncultured bacterium. RNAcentral describes it as "partial 16S ribosomal RNA". It matches the Rfam family "Bacterial small subunit ribosomal RNA", at positions 524 to 776 of the family's 1533-position model. The record is from RNAcentral.